RNAcentral lists this ribosomal RNA (479 nucleotides) under uncultured bacterium. Its description in RNAcentral is "bacterial SSU rRNA". It matches the Rfam family "Bacterial small subunit ribosomal RNA", at positions 107 to 598 of the family's 1533-position model. The record is from RNAcentral.
UGAGUAACGCGUGGGUAACCUACCCCAAAGUCUGGGAUAACAGCGGGAAACCGCUGCUAAUACCGGAUGUCUUUACCUUGGGGCAUCUUGAGGUAAAGAAAGGUAACGCUUUGGGAUGGGCCCGCGUCCCAUUAGCUAGUUGGUGAGGUAACGGCUCACCAAGGCGACGAUGGGUAGCCGGCCUGAGAGGGUGGACGGCCACACUGGGACUGAGACACGGCCCAGACUCCUACGGGAGGCAGCAGUAGGGAAUAUUGCGCAAUGGACGGAAGUCUGACGCAGCGACGCCGCGUGAGCGAUGAAGGUCUUCGGAUCGUAAAGCUCUGUCCUUGGGGAAGAAGGCGAAAGCUUGACGGUACCCAAGAAGAAAGCCCCGGCUAACUACGUGCCAGCAGCCGCGGUAAUACGUAGGGGGCGAGCGUUGUCCGGAAUUACUGGGCGUAAAGGGUGCGUAGGCGGCCCUUUAAGUCGGAUGUGAA